CCCAUGCACAGAGGAGCCUGGCGGGCUAUGGCCAUUGCAAAGAGUCGGACGCAGAUGAAGCGACAGCACAGCACGGCACAUAUAGGAGACCUGGGUUUGAUCCCUGGGUCAGAAGAUCCCCUGGAGGAGGGCAUGGAAACUCACUCCAGUACUCUUGCCUGGAGAAUCCCAUGCACAGAGGAGCCUGAUGGGGCUGCAGUCCAUAGGGUUGCACAGAGUCGGACACUACUAAGCAACUACCUUAUGGAUUGACUAGACUACCCCUGAUAACCAAUUGAUUUCUUCUCUGUUGAGAGCCACAUGUGGGUCCACCGUCAGCCCACAUGAUCAGACGACAAGAACCGUGUCCCACUGAAAGAGAUUAGCUGAUCGGCAGUGGCUACAUUAUGAAUUCAGUCCCCGCUCCCUAUAAUGC
This is a long non-coding RNA of Bos taurus (domestic cattle), 415 nucleotides long. NCBI's taxonomy places the organism in Eukaryota, Metazoa, Chordata, Mammalia, Artiodactyla, Bovidae. The record is from Ensembl.